UAGACCAUUGGAUGAUGAUGAGGCC
RNAcentral lists this non-coding RNA (25 nucleotides) under Rattus norvegicus (Norway rat). The record is from RNAcentral. Lineage: Eukaryota; Metazoa; Chordata; Mammalia; Rodentia; Muridae.